RNAcentral lists this transfer RNA (76 nucleotides) under Streptomyces sp. P9(2023). RNAcentral describes it as "tRNA-Met". It matches the Rfam family "tRNA". From Rfam's summary of the family: Transfer RNA (tRNA) molecules are approximately 80 nucleotides in length. Lineage: Bacteria; Bacillati; Actinomycetota; Actinomycetes; Kitasatosporales; Streptomycetaceae. The record is from RNAcentral.
UGCGGGGUAGCUCAACGGGCACAGAGCAGCCGAUUCAUACCCGGUUCAGACGUUGGUUCGAUUCCGGCCCCCGCAG